AGUCGAACGAGGGAGCAAUCCCUAGUGGCGAACGGCGGAGUAAGACAUAAGCAACGUGCCCUGAAGACUGGGAUAUACGGUCGAAAGACCGGGUAAUACCGGAUGUGGCCGAGACUCGGCAUCGAGUCUUGACUAAAUGGUUUUUCGCUUCAGGAGCGGCUUAUGACACAUCAGGUAGUUGGUGGGGUAACGGCCUACCAAGCCGACGACGUGUAGGGGGUCUGAGAGGAUGAUCCCCCCGAGUGGGACUGAGACACGGCCCACACACCUACGGGUGGCAGCAGUUAGGAAUCUUGCCCAAUGGGGGAAACCCUGAGGCAGCGACGCCGCGUGGAGGAUGAAGGAUUUAGGUCUGUAAACUCCUUUUACCAGGAAAGACUUAGGACGGUACCUGGUGAAUAAGCCCCGGCUAACUCCGUGCCAGCAGCCGCGGUAAUACGGAGGGGGCAAGCGUUGUCCGGAUUUACUGGGCGUAAAGGGCGCGUAGGCGGUCUGUUAAGCAUGAAGUGAAAUCCCCAGGGCUCAACCCGGGAACCGCUUUGUGAACUGGCAGACUGGAGGAAGGUAGAGGUGUGUAGAAUUCCUGGUGUAACGGUGACAUGUGUAGAUAUCAGGAGGAAUACCCAUGGCGAAGGCAGCACACUGG
This 646-nucleotide ribosomal RNA is filed under the name uncultured Armatimonadota bacterium. RNAcentral describes it as "bacterial SSU rRNA". It matches the Rfam family "Bacterial small subunit ribosomal RNA", at positions 60 to 732 of the family's 1533-position model. Lineage: Bacteria; Bacillati; Armatimonadota. The record is from RNAcentral.